Molecule: ribosomal RNA, 507 nt
Filed under: Huechys sanguinea
Lineage: Eukaryota; Metazoa; Arthropoda; Insecta; Hemiptera; Cicadidae
Description: partial 16S ribosomal RNA
Rfam family: Archaeal large subunit ribosomal RNA
Source: RNAcentral
GUCUUUUAGAAAUAAUUAAAAGUCUAAUCUGCCCAAUGAUUUAAUUAAAUGGCCGCGGUAAAUUGACCGUGCAAAGGUAGCAUAAUAAAUUGUCUUUUAAUUGAAGGCUUGUAUGAAUGAUUGGAUGAAAGACUAACUUAAUUAAUAUUAAUAAUUGAAAUUAAUUAUUGAGUAAAAAAGCUCAAAUGUAUAAGUGGGACGAGAAGACCCUAUAGAAUUUAAAAAAAUCAUUAAAUUAAUUAUUUUAGUUAGUAAAUUUUUUUAUUUUAUGAUUAUUUUUUGUUGGGGUGACAUUAAAAUUUAACUAACUUUUAAUUAAAAUUCCAUUAAUAUAUGUUUUAAUUGAUCCAAUUUUUUGAUUAUAAGAAUAAAUUACCUUAGGGAUAACAGCGUUAUUAUUUUGGAGAGUUCUUAUCGAUAAAUUAGAUUGCGACCUCGAUGUUGGAUUAAAAAUAGAGAUUGGAGCAAAAUUUUUUAUUUCUAGGUCUGUUCGACCUUUAAUAUUUU